AUUGAACGCUGGCGGCAGGCCUAACACAUGCAAGUCGAGCGGAUGAAGGGAGCUUGCUCCUGGAUUCAGCGGCGGACGGGUGAGUAAUGCCUAGGAAUCUGCCUGGUAGUGGGGGAUAACGUCCGGAAACGGGCGCUAAUACCGCAUACGUCCUGUGGGGGAAAGUGGGGGAUCUUCGGACCUCACGCUAUCAGAUGAGCCUAGGUCGGAUUAGCUAGUUGGUGGGGUAAAGGCCUACCAAGGCGACGAUCCGUAACUGGUCUGAGAGGAUGAUCAGUCACACUGGAACUGAGACACGGUCCAGACUCCUACGGGAGGCAGCAGUGGGGAAUAUUGGACAAUGGGCGAAAGCCUGAUCCAGCCAUGCCGCGUGUGUGAAGAAGGUCUUCGGGUUGUAAAGCACUUUAAGUUGGGAGGAAGGGCAGUAAGUUAAUACCUUGCUGUUUUGACGUUACCGGCAGAAUAAGCACCGGCUAACUUCGUG
This 484-nucleotide ribosomal RNA is filed under the name uncultured bacterium. RNAcentral's name for it is "partial 16S ribosomal RNA". It matches the Rfam family "Bacterial small subunit ribosomal RNA", at positions 30 to 507 of the family's 1533-position model. The record is from RNAcentral.